This 484-nucleotide ribosomal RNA is filed under the name uncultured bacterium. RNAcentral's name for it is "partial 16S ribosomal RNA". It matches the Rfam family "Bacterial small subunit ribosomal RNA", at positions 30 to 507 of the family's 1533-position model. The record is from RNAcentral.
AUUGAACGCUAGCGGGAUGCUUUACACAUGCAAGUCGAACGGCAGCGCGGACUUCGGUCUGGCGGCGAGUGGCGAACGGGUGAGUAAUGUAUCGGAACGUGCCCAGUAGCGGGGGAUAACUACGCGAAAGCGUAGCUAAUACCGCAUACGCCCUACGGGGGAAAGCAGGGGAUCGUAAGACCUUGCACUAUUGGAGCGGCCGAUAUCGGAUUAGCUAGUUGGUGAGGUAACGGCUCACCAAGGCGACGAUCCGUAGCUGGUUUGAGAGGACGACCAGCCACACUGGGACUGAGACACGGCCCAGACUCCUACGGGAGGCAGCAGUGGGGAAUUUUGGACAAUGGGGGCAACCCUGAUCCAGCCAUCCCGCGUGUGCGAUGAAGGCCUUCGGGUUGUAAAGCACUUUUGGCAGGAAAGAAACGUCGCGGGCUAAUACCCCGUGGAACUGGCGGUACCUGCAGAAUAAGCACCGGCUAACUACGUG